This 434-nucleotide ribosomal RNA is filed under the name uncultured bacterium. RNAcentral's name for it is "bacterial SSU rRNA". It matches the Rfam family "Bacterial small subunit ribosomal RNA", at positions 954 to 1392 of the family's 1533-position model. The record is from RNAcentral.
GCAUAACGCGAAGAACCUUACCCACCUUUGACAUGUACGGAAUCCUUUAGAGAUAGAGGAGUGCUCGAAAGAGAGCCGUAACACAGGUGCUGCAUGGCUGUCGUCAGCUCGUGUCGUGAGAUGUUGGGUUAAGUCCCGCAACGAGCGCAACCCUUGCCAUUAGUUGCUACGAAAGGGCACUCUAAUGGGACUGCCGGUGACAAACCGGAGGAAGGUGGGGAUGACGUCAAGUCCUCAUGGCCCUUAUAGGUGGGGCUACACACGUCAUACAAUGGCUGGUACAGAGGGUUGCCAACCCGCGAGGGGGAGCUAAUCCCAUAAAGCCAGUCGUAGUCCGGAUCGCAGUCUGCAACUCGACUGCGUGAAGUCGGAAUCGCUAGCAAUCGCGGAUCAGAAUGUCGCGGUGAAUACGUUCCCGGGUCUUGUACACACCG